RNAcentral lists this long non-coding RNA (440 nucleotides) under Megachile rotundata (alfalfa leafcutting bee). RNAcentral's name for it is "uncharacterized LOC105662020, transcript variant X1". Lineage: Eukaryota; Metazoa; Arthropoda; Insecta; Hymenoptera; Megachilidae. The record is from RNAcentral.
GGACACGAAGCGGACGUUUGAAUUUUUAUUUUGUGCAUCGUAAUUUAAUUGUUGUCCAGCUUUUACGCAUUUAUGCACUCAGUAAUACAAGUGGUAUACAUCAGUGCUUACAAUUCCUGCUACAGUAUAUCAAUUCCUGCAACAGUAUAUCAAUCCCUGCAGCAGUACAUCAAUUCUUGCAGAAUAGGUGUAACCGAAACGGACGAUGCAACGUAAAUAAACGUAAUUUGUUAAUCAGUCAGUGUAUCAGUGUUAUAAUGUGCGAUAAAGUGCGAACAAACGGAUUCGCGAAUUAACUGCAGUCUUUGUGGAAUUUGUUUGCGACGAAACAAAUGUGUUGUUGUGCUAUGGAAAAAAUCGAUCGAGAAGGACAAACUAUGCUGUGGAAGGAGCCUUCGACCCUGUUCGUAGUUUCAACGGAUCGUCUUUCCAUCCAGUAG